GACGAACGCUGGCGGCGUGCCUAAUACAUGCAAGUAGAACGCUGAAGGAGGAGCUUGCUUCUCUGGAUGAGUUGCGAACGGGUGAGUAACGCGUAGGUAACCUGCCUGGUAGCGGGGGAUAACUAUUGGAAACGAUAGCUAAUACCGCAUAAUAGUAGAUGUUGCAUGACAUUUGCUUAAAAGGUGCAAUUGCAUCACUACCAGAUGGACCUGCGUUGUAUUAGCUAGUUGGUGAGGUAACGGCUCACCAAGGCGACGAUACAUAGCCGACCUGAGAGGGUGAUCGGCCACACUGGGACUGGAGCCAGGCCCAGACCCCUACGGGGGGCAGCAGUAGGGGAUCUUCGGCAAUGGGCGGAAGGCUGACCGGGCAACGCCGCGGGGGGGGAGAAGGGUUUCGGAUCGGAAAGCUCUGUUGUAAGAGAAGAACGAGGGUGAGAGUGGAAAGGUCACGCUGUGACGGUAUCUAAACAGAAAGGGACGGCUAACUACGUG
RNAcentral lists this ribosomal RNA (495 nucleotides) under uncultured bacterium. RNAcentral's name for it is "partial 16S ribosomal RNA". It matches the Rfam family "Bacterial small subunit ribosomal RNA", at positions 28 to 507 of the family's 1533-position model. The record is from RNAcentral.